Aptenodytes forsteri (emperor penguin) is the source of this 1275-nucleotide long non-coding RNA. RefSeq lists it as uncharacterized. The transcript has 2 exons. The record is from RefSeq and is a predicted model, not a curated record. NCBI's taxonomy places the organism in Eukaryota, Metazoa, Chordata, Aves, Sphenisciformes, Spheniscidae.
UAAUUAGGACUAGAAGUAGCACUUUCACUUUUGUGUUUUGGAUCAACAGAGUAAUGUACUGUCCACCUUUGAUCCUUUUUAUGUAAUAACAUUUGAGAGACACAAACACAUGCAUCACAACUGAUAUGUAUUUGUUACAGUUAAAACCUGUUGGCUAGAGCAGUGCUUCAAUCUAGUAACUGGAUUUUAAUAAUUGACGCAUAAGUGACAUAAAAGGAAUUCAAGUCAUGGGUGAUAUUUUUCCUUUAGCAAGAGAUCAUUGUUUUUAAAUUGUUUGCUGUAAACAAGUGGAUAUACGUUAUUUGUUACCUUAUUUGGACGGAUGAUUUGCUACAAUCCUUUUUGAGAAGGUAAAGCUUUCUUGAACGAUACUUCACUCUAAAAGUUUUCAUGGGUGGGUCUGUUAUACUGAACAGAAAUAUUAAGUGUAUUUCCUUGUACAUUUAAUAUUUGUAUUCCAAAUAUUUAAGUAUGACUACAUAUAUCUGAAUGCAUUAAAGAGUAAUUGAUGCACAACUCCCCCGGAAAGAAAAUAACACUUGAAGAUCCCUGUACUAAUUCCUCAUUGGUAAUUUUAGAUAUACAUGCAAGGUUAAUCCAAGUGGACUGGUUUGUUGCUUAGAAGUCAACAUCUUUAUAUGAAAAGCAAACCCUCUGCUUUUUGUUUUUAAACUGGCAGGGUAAAAAAUACAACUCUAACGAAAAUGGUGAAAAGCUAAGGAAAAAUACCUUGUUUGGUGUAUGCAGAGAGAGUGCCAAAUACACAUCAGGAAUUUCAACUCUUUAAUGUUACCUCUUCUGUUUUCAAUCAUCUUAAGUAGUUGUUUGGCACUACCUGCCUCUCUGCUGCUCUGAAAUGUCCCAGCAUGUACUGGACUGAUAGCAUGAAUCACUGGAGCAGAGUGCCUGUCUUGGGACAAAAGUUGGUGUCCCUAGCUUCUAUUUUUACUCGUCUAUCUUUCAUUGGUUAUGACUGUAAUGCAAUUACAUUUCCAAAAGACAAUGUGACUUUCUCAUUUUCACCUUUUUAAACUUAAUAUAAAUGUUCUGAAUGUUCACGUGUUGCAUUUAUUUGCAUCGGGAUGCCAUUGUCCUGUAAAGUGCAAAUUUUAAAAAUACAAUUGGCAAAAAGAUUUGAUAGUUUUACAGAAAGAUUUGCUAUCUUAAACUCAAACUGUUUUCUAUUUUCAUCUAAAUGACUGGGAUGCUAUCUUUGUAAUUCUUUGAGGUCAUAUUUGUGAAAUAAACAAUACACGAAAGCUUUCCUGUCAUAUA